AUGUGUGCUGUUGUAAUGGAUGGUGGGCUUUUUUCUGGUGGUUUGGGUGCAGGAUUUGCUCUUGUGUUUCAAGUUGAAUACUGGGGAGAUGGAGGAGAUGUGCCACGGCAGGCUACUGUGGUGGUGAGAUUCAGGUCUAAGUCGGGCCUGUCUGAAGAGCAAGAAUAUAAAGCUUUUGAGCUUAGGCACAUGAAUCAAGCCCCCAGAAUCCGAUGGUCUACUGAGCCAGUUUUAUGCUUGGCGAGGAAGGGUGGAACAGUGAACCUUGCCACACAAUGGCAGCCCCUUCGCCUGAUGACCUUUUCCAAUCACGAUGACCUCCCGUCGCUGCUGAAGGAAUUGGAAACAGUACUGGAGGAAUUGUGA
This 366-nucleotide ribosomal RNA is filed under the name Triticum aestivum (bread wheat). Its description in RNAcentral is "partial small subunit ribosomal RNA". Lineage: Eukaryota; Viridiplantae; Streptophyta; Magnoliopsida; Poales; Poaceae. The record is from RNAcentral.